GGUUAAGUGACUAAGCGUACACGGUGGAUGCCUAGGCAGUCAGAGGCGAUGAAGGGCGUGCUAAUCUGCGAAAAGCGUCGGUAAGGUGAUAUGAACCGUUAUAACCGGCGAUACCCGAAUGGGGAAACCCAGUGUGUUUCGACACACUAUCAUGUCAUGAAUACAUAGUGGCAUGAGGCGAACCGGGGGAACUGAAACAUCUAAGUACCCCGAGGAAAAGAAAUCAACCGAGAUUCCCCCAGUAGCGGCGAGCGAACGGGGAGGAGCCCAGAACCUGAAUCGGCUUGUGUGUUAGUGGAAGCGUCUGGAAAGUCGCGCAGCAAAGGGUGAUAGCCCCGUACACUAAAAUGCACAGGUCGUGAGUUCGAUGAGUAGGGCGGGACACGUGACAUCCUGUCUGAAUAUGGGGGGACCAUCCUCCAAGGCUAAAUACUCCUGACUGACCGAUAGUGAACCAGUACCGUGAGGGAAAGGCGAAAAGAACCCCGGCGAGGGGAGUGAAAUAGAACCUGAAACCGUGUACGUACAAGCAGUGGGAGCACCUUCGUGGUGUGACUGCGUACCUUUUGUAUAAUGGGUCAGCGACUUAUAUUUUGUAGCAAGGUUAACCGUAUAGGGGAGCCGUAGGGAAACCGAGUCUUAACUGGGCGAAUAGUUGCAAGGUAUAGACCCGAAACCCGGUGAUCUAGCCAUGGGCAGGUUGAAGGUUGGGUAACACUAACUGGAGGACCGAACCGACUAAUGUUGAAAAAUUAGCGGAUGACUUGUGGCUGGGGGUGAAAGGCCAAUCAAACCGGGAGAUAGCUGGUUCUCCCCGAAAGCUAUUUAGGUAGCGCCUCGUGAACUCAUCUUCGGGGGUAGAGCACUGUUUCGGCUAGGGGGCCAUCCCGGCUUACCAAACCGAUGCAAACUCCGAAUACCGAAGAAUGUUAUCACGGGAGACACACGGCGGGUGCUAACGUCCGUCGUGAAGAGGGAAACAACCCAGACCGCCAGCUAAGGUCCCAAAGUCAUGGUUAAGUGGGAAACGAUGUGGGAAGGCAUAGACAGCCAGGAUGUUGGCUUAGAAGCAGCCAUCAUUUAAAGAAAGCGUAA
RNAcentral lists this ribosomal RNA (1095 nucleotides) under Staphylococcus epidermidis. RNAcentral describes it as "partial 23S ribosomal RNA". It matches the Rfam family "Bacterial large subunit ribosomal RNA", at positions 1 to 1137 of the family's 2925-position model. Lineage: Bacteria; Bacillati; Bacillota; Bacilli; Caryophanales; Staphylococcaceae. The record is from RNAcentral.